UUGUGGUGUGAGGCAUAAAUAAAGAGAUAUUUAUUAGUUAGAGAGAGAAUUGUGGGUUGGUGUUCUUUUGGUUGGGUUUAGACACAAAUAGAGAGAGAAGCUCUGGAUUCCACCUUUUUCCGUCCUCCGCGACGGUUAUUUUGCCGGUUGGCUCUCAGGUUGUGCUGGACUUGGAUCUAUACAGAUUAAUCUUCUCUUUUAAGAUAUGGAGCAAGCGCGGUUCUGGUUAAAUUGCUACCAGUUUCGAGUUUUUUCAUUCCAGGAAGUACUGGACUGGCGGUUUCUCGUCCUUGGAGGUUUUCUUUUGGUGUCCUUUGUCAAUUGUACCUAGUGGUCCGAUUCUCUUUAAUGAUCAGUAUAGGAGACGUAAUGCAAAUCUUUGCUGAGAUAGGUGUUGGAUAUUUAGUGCACUUUUACAAUGCAUCACUGAUAGAACAUCCAGCCUAUUAUUUUCAGAAAACGUCUUCUGGGGGUUGAGGUCUGCAAGU
Long non-coding RNA from Pistacia vera, 488 nucleotides. RefSeq lists it as uncharacterized. The transcript is spliced from 4 exons. The record is from RefSeq and is a predicted model, not a curated record. NCBI's taxonomy places the organism in Eukaryota, Viridiplantae, Streptophyta, Magnoliopsida, Sapindales, Anacardiaceae.